AACGCACAUUGCGCCCCCUGGUAUUCCGGGGGGCAUGCCUGUCCGAGCGUCAUUGCUGCCCUCAAGCACGGCUUGUGUGUUGGGCCACCGUCCCUCCCCCCGGGGGGGGGACGGGCCCGAAAGGCAGCGGCGGCACCGCGUCCGGUCCUCGAGCGUAUGGGGCUUUGUCACCCGCUCUUUAGGACUGGCCGGCGCUUGCCGGCGUCUCAAACCCCAUCUUCCUUUUCAGGUUGACCUCGGAUCAGGUAGGGAUACCCGCUGAACUUAA
This 268-nucleotide unclassified non-coding RNA is filed under the name uncultured fungus. Its description in RNAcentral is "sequence contains ITS2". The stretch from base 1 to 52 matches the Rfam family "5.8S ribosomal RNA", at positions 103 to 154 of the family's 154-position model. The record is from RNAcentral. Lineage: Eukaryota; Fungi.